RNAcentral lists this long non-coding RNA (752 nucleotides) under Physcomitrium patens. RNAcentral's name for it is "long non-coding RNA (PPAT_LNC002916)". The record is from RNAcentral. Lineage: Eukaryota; Viridiplantae; Streptophyta; Bryopsida; Funariales; Funariaceae.
AUGGUUCAUUCAUUAGUUAUUGAGGUUUAAAUGUACUAUAGGAAUUACUUUGGAUUGAUUAAGGUUCGAUUUAGGAUUAAGAUUAGGAUUAGGAUUAAGAUUUGGUUAGAAUUAGGAUUGAGAUUUUGGAUUUGAUUUAAGGUUUGAUUAGGAUUAAGAUUUGAUUUAGAUUAGGAUUUUGUUCGAAUUUUUCUAGGAUUUGACUAUAAUUUGUUUAAGAUUUGAUUAGGGCUUAUUUAGGAUUUGUCUAGGAUUUGAUCAGGAUUUAUUUAAGAUUUGGUUAGGAUUUUUUUAAGAUUUGAUUAAAAUUUGAUUAAGAUUUGAUUAGGAUUUGAUUAGGAUUUUAUUAGAAUUUGACUAGAAUUUUAGUAAGAUUUGUCUAGGAUUUGGUUAAGACUUAUUUAGGAUUUAUUUAAGAUUUUACUAGGAUUUAUUUAGUAUUUCAUUAGGAUUUAUUUAGGGUUUGAUUAAGAUUUGUCUAAGAUUUGGUUAGAACUUAUUUAAAGGUUGAUUAGGAUUUGAUAUGAAUUUGAUUAAGGUUUGAUUAAGAUUUCAUUAAGAUUUGAUUGGAUUUUGAUUGGAAUUUAAUUAUAGUUUUUAUUUUAUUAUUUUAUUAAGAUUUCUAUUUUAGUAUAUUUUUUUUGAAUCUCUAUGGUAUUCUUUUAUGAUUUCUUUAAAGAAUUUCUAGGAUUUCUUUAUGUUUCUUGUAUAAUUUCUUUGAAAUUUUAUUUGAAUUUGAUUGAUAUUUGAUU